This is an RNA transcript of Hylaeus anthracinus, 3570 nucleotides long. It is a transcript of the gene named protein Son, with no coding region annotated. The transcript has 10 exons. The record is from RefSeq and is a predicted model, not a curated record. NCBI's taxonomy places the organism in Eukaryota, Metazoa, Arthropoda, Insecta, Hymenoptera, Colletidae.
GACAUAAAUUUUUUCAAGUAAGAUUUGAUUUUUUAAUAACGAAUUCAAACUAAGUAAAUGUGUGCGUAUAGCAACGUACCUUGGAGUUCUGACCUUGACAUUCCAAAUUUUUUUUUAUAUAACACGAUCCAUUCAACCGGACUGCUAACUCUCGAAACUGGCUUUUAAAGAGAGCAUUCCAUUCUUACAGUUGGAAUUCCAAUUGAAAUUGUCGACUUUGUACGGUUUACCUCCAUUUGCAACUUAAAAAUUGCACUUAACUGAUUUUGUUCAUUCGGUUUUUUUUUUAUUUACCGCGGUAUAUGAAAUUAUUAAGAUUAAAAAAUUAGCUCAAUCGAUCGAUACAUUCUAGGGCUGUGAAAAUAUUAAGAAACGUGUGAGAAAUCAGGUAGAUUAAAUUAAAAUCAGAGAUACAGAUUAUUGGAAAAGAAUACGACACUCAAAUUUCUUGUAGUUCGGCACUUCAGGCAAAGUGGUGUCGCUAGUUUCAAAUAUUGUAAUGGCGAAUGAUCAUUAGGUCUAGCAAACUGGUCUGCUGGUCUGGAUAAACAGGUAUAAAUGGCGACGGUUGGUUGAAUGUGACAGUACUAUGACAGUACAAUUGAACGUAUUUAUUGUAAAAAUUUGUAAAAAUCUUCGUUAUCGUGGUUUUUCGUUGUUUGGCCAAAUGAGCGAGUACUAACAAUGGGAGACUUAUUUGAUAUUGCAAAUUUAAUCACUACUGUCGGUGUUGAUAGAAUAAAAAUUAAACCGGAGCCUGGACUGCCAGAAAAAUCGUCGAAUGAAAUACUGACAGAGUUAUUUAGCACGUUUGAUGCCGAAGAAGCGAUACCAUCACCAGAGAAUACCGAUCAACAAGUUCCAAAUGCCAGUAUUAAAACUGAAAAACUCAAGAAGUCUCAGAUCAAGAAAAAGAAGACCAAGAAGAAACACAAGCACAAGGAUAAAAAGCAUAAAAAGAAAUCGAAACGUAAUUCCUCUGAAAGUAACAGCGAUCCUGAAAGUUCUAAUGUUAAAAAGAAAAAGAAGCAUAAAAAGAAGACGAAAAGAAAGCAUGAAAAUGACUCGAGUAGGUCAUCAGAUUCAGAUGAGCCUAAGAAUAAAGUGUCAAAGCUUAAUAGUUCUUGUAACAAUGUAAACAAGAAAAGUUAUAAUAAGGAUAAUGAAUUUGACAAACAAAAUACAGUUGCAUCAACAAAUUUGGAAGAAGUAUUAUCAAUUAAACAGGAGCCACAGAUGGAAAGCACUUUUGUGAAAAGUUCAGAAAGUCCUCAAUUGCCUCCUAUUUCAAAAAAGCUUGAAGAGGAUCCCGAAGAAUUGCUGAUACCUAAAAUUCUUGAAAAAUCAAAGCAAGCUGCUCAAGGAAAAAUCUUAAUAAAAGAUCUCAAGAACAGUACAGUUUAUAACGCGACAGUGAAGGAAAUAGAAAACAAGGUAAAGGAAAAAGCAGCUAGAAUGGAAGAUGGCGAAAUAUCUGAUAGUAGUACAGAUAACAGAACUCCAACGUUAAGUCCUAGCCCAUUACAAUAUACUUCGCAUAGAUCGCCGACGUUAAGUCCGACAUUGGAUAAAAUGGAAAAUAGAGUGCUAAGUCCUACAAAAUGGGGGAAAACUGCAAGAAAUGAUUUGAGAUUGAUUUUGAGGGAAAAAGAGAAAAAAAGACUCGAAGGUAUGGAUAAAAGGACAGACGAUGUAGAAAAGUCAAAGUUGUACAUGGAUAGCGAAUACAAAGAAAAAGUAUACAGAGAUGGUAAACGUAAUCACAAUUGUCACUCGCAAGAAAAAAGAAGAUCCGAAUCUCGAACGCGCUCGGACUCCCAUAGAAGUAGAAGCAGAGGGAGAGAUAAACGAAGAGAUAGGAGUAAAGAUAGGCACGAAAAAAGUCGAAGCAACGAUAGACGAGAUUCUGGAAAAAGUAGAGAAAGGCGAAGACAUAGAAGUCGUAGCGACGAUAGAAGCAGAGAUAAAUAUGUACGAGGACGAAGUAGAAGUAAAGAACGGAAGGAAAGAAUAGAAAUUGAUAAGAAGAAAUUAUUAGAAAUUGCAAGGAGAAAUGCAAUAAACAUGAUUAAACAAGGAACACUACCAUUAGCUCAACAAGACAAAGCAAUUGCCGCGAUACAAGCUGGUGGAAAAACGGUAGAUGAACUCACAGACUUUUGUAAAUCAUUAUCAAAAUCUGAAGCAUUAGGUGAACUUUCUAGUAUCUCAUCUGAAGAGGAUGGAAGUGAAUCUGAAAAAGGUUUUCACCAUCCUUUUUUGCUCAAAGGGCGACCUAGUUCUAUUAUUAUGAAUAUUCGGGAUGCUAAACAAUUACCGACAAAAACAUUCCAAGAAAAAACAGUAGAAUCAUCGAAUCAACUACGUUUACAAUUUCCUGUAUCGAGCGGCCAACAUCAUAGAAAAAGUGAGAAUGAAUGGGUACCGGUAAUACCAAAAAAACCAGAACCAAAAAAACAGUUUGUACCAGCUUCUACGCCGAGCGAAUCUCCUCCUGUUAUACCUCCGCCUGCACCUGUUCAGCCAGUGCAAGCAGCAACAGUUUUUACCCAACCAGUAACAACAGAGUUGAUAGAUAUCGGCUCGAUAGUAUCUCAACGAUUAGCAGCAAUGAGAAAAUUAAGAGAAAAUCCAAAUGACGUAUGUGCUCAAAAUGAAAUGUAUCGUGCACAAAACGAGAUGAAAACGUGGGCUGAAAGUAAGCAGAUGCCAGGUCAGUUUACUGGCAGUACAGGAGCCAAAGUGCUCUCGCCUGCAGAACUUACUUCAGGUUACCAAGCCUGGGCUCGUAAGGUAACAGUAUUAUUUACAAUCUGCCUGAUUAUGUCUUAUUGUUCGUCAUUCCACGUUUAUUUUGCCAUUGAAACUUAUGAUAGCAGCCCUUAAUCUAACUAUAUAUUUACAUGUCAGAUGAUUGAUAAAAUCCUAUCUGAGAUGUGAAUACAUAUCUCUUGUAUACAUCACAGUUUUCUUUUUUUUGUUUUUGUUUUUGUUUUUUUUAACAAUGCAUUACCUGAUACUGAUAUUGCCUGUAACAAGUUUUCAGGUACAGUCUCUAUCAAGAUCUGUUACAUUGAUCUGAUAGGAACUGUGGUGUAGGCACAGACUAUUUCUUGUAUAGAGGUAGACUCUGUGCCUGCACGGACACAGGAGCACCGUUAUGUUAUACAUCGUGUACAAUAUGUGAUAAAACUGUACACUGGUUUAUUAGGUGAAUAAUAAACGAUUGAUGUCAUUCAUUACAAAUGUAAUAAAUUUAAGGCACAUCAGAGAACGAAAAUAUUUUCUUAUAUAAUGGGCUCUUGUGAGAUUAUUGCUAAUUAUCGUCAGCAUUCCUAUCAUAGGACUUCAUCAAGCGUUACUAUAUCUUUCUAUCAUAAAGCUGGGAUAUUUAGCAUUAGUCUGCAUCCACCUGAGGGUUUGUUACAGGCACGUAGCUACAUCAGAGAAGAAACACCUUCAGCGGCGUGAUGUCGAAUUUAUGAUUUCUUUGGACCAAUUAGUAUCAGCACAACCUGUUUCGGGUGGGAUGGGUAUGGCUUUACUACAGAAGAUGGGUUGGCGACCAGG